UCGUUUUUAAGUGCAUUAAUUUAUAUUUUUAUCUUUUUUUCGUCUAUUAUGUUUAAGGCUGAAAAUAUUUAUCAAUAUUUUCAAGAAAUUGGAAGUUUGCAGCAUAUCAUGUUUGACAUGUUUCGAUUUGAUUUUCUUAGUAAUUUAUGAUUCGAUAAUCGAAAUUAUGGCGCGAGAUGUCAUUGUAUCGAUAAUCAUAAAUUUAUGAUCGUGACAGUUCAGAUGUGUCAUUUUUUCUUGAGAUUACUAAUUGAUUGUUGGAAUGAUGGAAAAAUGGAAAAGAUUUCAUGAACGCCAUAACGAUUAAUAACUUCAAGAAAUGUUUCAUACUUAAUGACUAUUUCGCAAUGAUAUCUUAUAACAAUAUUGAUGACAGCAUUAACAUCGUAUUUAUUGGUAAGUCAUGUUCAUUUAUGUUUUUUUUUUAUGUUUUCUUUUUAAUAAAUAAAUAUUUGAUGAAUGAAUAAUAAAAUGUAACCUAAUUAAUAGCAAUUUAUAGAAUUUAUUUUUUAUUUAUAAACAUUAUUAUUCUAUGAAUUUUCAAAUGUCGCCAAAUAUGGUCUUUCAGAAGUAGGACAUAAAAAUUUCUCAAAUGGUACAAGCCAUUCAUUGUUUGUUUUUUUACCAAUUGGUUGUAACAGAUUGUU
Molecule: long non-coding RNA, 647 nt
Organism: Apis mellifera (honey bee)
Lineage: Eukaryota; Metazoa; Arthropoda; Insecta; Hymenoptera; Apidae
Exons: 3
Source: RefSeq, a predicted model, not a curated record